GAUGAACGCUGGCGGCGUGCCUAACACAUGCAAGUCGAACGAAGCAAUUAAAGGAAGUUUUCGGAUGGAAUUUGAUUGACUGAGUGGCGGACGGGUGAGUAACGCGUGGAUAACCUGCCUCACACUGGGGGAUAACAGUUAGAAAUGACUGCUAAUACCGCAUAAGCGCACAGUACCGCAUGGUACGGUGUGAAAAACUCCGGUGGUGUGAGAUGGAUCCGCGUCGGAUUAGGUAGUUGGUGAGGCAGAGGCUCACCAAGCCGACGAUCCAUAGCCGACCUGAGAGGGUGAACGGCCACAUUGGGACUGAGACACGGCCCAA
Molecule: ribosomal RNA, 322 nt
Filed under: uncultured bacterium
Lineage: Bacteria
Description: bacterial SSU rRNA
Rfam family: Bacterial small subunit ribosomal RNA
Source: RNAcentral